This 908-nucleotide ribosomal RNA is filed under the name Pseudopithomyces chartarum. Its description in RNAcentral is "partial large subunit ribosomal RNA". It matches the Rfam family "Eukaryotic large subunit ribosomal RNA", at positions 38 to 961 of the family's 3401-position model. Lineage: Eukaryota; Fungi; Ascomycota; Dothideomycetes; Pleosporales; Didymosphaeriaceae. The record is from RNAcentral.
GCAUAUCAAUAAGCGGAGGAAAAGAAAGCAACAGCGAUAGCCUCAGUAACGGCGAGUGAAGCGGCUACAGCUCAAAUUUGAAAUCUGGCCUCCUUUGGGGGUCCGAGUUGUAAUUUGCAGAGGAUGCUUUGGCAUUGGCGGCGGUCUAAGUUCCUUGGAACAGGACAUCGCAGAGGGUGAGAAUCCCGUACGUGGGCGCCUGCCUUUGCCGUGUAAAGCUCCUUCGACGAGUCGAGUUGUUUGGGAAUGCAGCUCUAAAUGGGAGGUAAAUUUCUCCUAAAGCUAAAUACCGGCCAGAGACCGAUAGCGCACAAGUAGAGUGAUCGAAAGAUGAAAAGUACUUUGGAAAGAGAGUCAAAUAGCACGUGAAAUUGUUGAAAGGGAAGCGCUUGCAGCCAGACUUGCCCGCAGUUGCUCACCUAGGCUUUCGCCUGGGGCACUCUUCUGCGGGCAGGCCAGCAUCAGUUUGGGCGGUCGGAUAAAGGCCUCUGUCAUGUACCACCCUUCGGGGUGGCCUUAUAGGGGAGGCGUAAUGCGACCAGCCCGGACUGAGGUCCGCGCAUCUGCUAGGAUGCUGGCGUAAUGGCUGUAAGCGGCCCGUCUUGAAACACGGACCAAGGAGUCUAACAUCUAUGCGAGUGUUUGGGUGUCAAGCCCGGGCGCGCAAUGAAAGUGAACGGAGGUGGGAACCUUUCGGGGUGCACCAUCGACCGAUCCUGAAGUCUUCGGAUGGAUUUGAGUAAGAGCAUAGCUGUUGGGACCCCGAAAGAUGGUGAACUAUGCUUGAAUAGGGUGAAGCCCAGAGGAAACUCUGGUGGAGGCUCGCAGCGGUUCUGACGUGCAAAUCGAUCGUCAAAUUUGGGCAUAGGGGCGAAAGACUAAUCGAYCAUCUAGUAGCUGGCUCUGCG